Molecule: ribosomal RNA, 447 nt
Filed under: uncultured bacterium
Lineage: Bacteria
Description: partial 16S ribosomal RNA
Rfam family: Bacterial small subunit ribosomal RNA
Source: RNAcentral
AACGAACGCUGGCGGCAGGCUUAACACAUGCAAGUCGAACGCCCCGCAAGGGGAGUGGCAGACGGGUGAGUAACGCGUGUGAACAUACCCUUUUCUACGGAAUAGCUCUGGGAAACUGGAAUUAAUACCGUAUACGCCCUACGGGGGAAAGAUUGAUCGGGGAAGGAUUGGCCCGCGUUGGAUUAGCUAGUUGGUGGGGUAAAGGCCUACCAAGGCGACGAACCAUAGCUGGUCUGAGAGGAUGAUCGGCCACAUUGGGACUGAGACACGGCCCAGACUCCUACGGGAGGCAGCAGUGGGGAAUAUUGGACAAUGGGCGCAAGCCUGAUACAGCCAUGCCGCGUGAGUGAUGAAGUCCUUAGGGUUGUAAAGCUCUUUCACCGAUGAAGAUAAUGACGGUAGUCGGAGAAGAAGCCCCGGCUAACUUCGUGCCAGCAGCCGCGGUAA